UGCAAGUAGAACGCUGAAGAGAGGAGCUUGCUCUUCUUGGAUGAGUUGCGAACGGGUGAGUAACGCGUAGGUAACCUGCCUUGUAGCGGGGGAUAACUAUUGGAAACGAUAGCUAAUACCGCAUAACAAUGGAUGACACAUGUCAUUUAUUUGAAAGGGGCAAUUGCUCCACUACAAGAUGGACCUGCGUUGUAUUAGCUAGUAGGUGAGGUAAUGGCUCACCUAGGCGACGAUACAUAGCCGACCUGAGAGGGUGAUCGGCCACACUGGGACUGAGACACGGCCCAGACUCCUACGGGAGGCAGCAGUAGGGAAUCUUCGGCAAUGGGGGCAACCCUGACCGAGCAACGCCGCGUGAGUGAAGAAGGUUUUCGGAUCGUAAAGCUCUGUUGUAAGUCAAGAACGGGUGUGAGAGUGGAAAGUUCACACUGUGACGGUAGCUUACCAGAAAGGGACGGCUAACUACGUGCCAGCAGCCGCGGUAAUACGUAGGUCCCGAGCGUUGUCCGGAUUUAUUGGGCGUAAAGCGAGCGCAGGCGGUUUGAUAAGUCUGAAGUUAAAGGCUGUGGCUCAACCAUAGUUCGCUUUGGAAACUGUCAAACUUGAGUGCAGAAGGGGAGAGUGGAAUUCCAUGUGUAGCGGUGAAAUGCGUAGAUAUAUGGAGGAACACCGGUGGCGAAAGCGGCUCUCUGGUCUGUAACUGACGCUGAGGCUCGAAAGCGUGGGGAGCGAACAGGAUUAGAUACCCUGGUAGUCCACGCCGUAAACGAUGAGUGCUAGGUGUUGGAUCCUUUCCGGGAUUCAGUGCCGCAGCUAACGCAUUAAGCACUCCGCCUGGGGAGUACGACCGCAAGGUUGAAACUCAAAGGAAUUGACGGGGGCCCGCACAAGCGGUGGAGCAUGUGGUUUAAUUCGAAGCAACGCGAAGAACCUUACCAGGUCUUGACAUCCCGAUGCUAUUUCUAGAGAUAGAAAGUUACUUCGGUACAUCGGUGACAGGUGGUGCAUGGUUGUCGUCAGCUCGUGUCGUGAGAUGUUGGGUUAAGUCCCGCAACGAGCGCAACCCCUAUUGUUAGUUGCCAUCAUUCAGUUGGGCACUCUAGCGAGACUGCCGGUAAUAAACCGGAGGAAGGUGGGGAUGACGUCAAAUCAUCAUGCCCCUUAUGACCUGGGCUACACACGUGCUACAAUGGUUGGUACAACGAGUUGCGAGUCGGUGACGGCGAGCUAAUCUCUUAAAGCCAAUCUCAGUUCGGAUUGUAGGCUGCAACUCGCCUACAUGAAGUCGGAAUCGCUAGUAAUCGCGGAUCAGCACGCCGCGGUGAAUACGUUCCCGGGCCUUGUACACACCGCCCGUCACACCACGAGAGUUUGUAACACCCGAAGUCGGUGAGGUAACCUUU
RNAcentral lists this ribosomal RNA (1403 nucleotides) under Streptococcus thermophilus. RNAcentral describes it as "bacterial SSU rRNA". It matches the Rfam family "Bacterial small subunit ribosomal RNA". The record is from RNAcentral. Lineage: Bacteria; Bacillati; Bacillota; Bacilli; Lactobacillales; Streptococcaceae.